CUAUCAAACUUAUUACAAAGUUGUUCUAACAAGUCUGAUACAGUCAUGGUAUAACAAGCAUGUUACAAGGUUGAUGACACAAGGUUGUAACAAUAUUGUUAUAUCGUGACUGCAUCGGAUUUGUUGGAACAACCUUGCAACAAGUCUGAUAA
Molecule: non-coding RNA, 152 nt
Organism: Paramuricea clavata
Lineage: Eukaryota; Metazoa; Cnidaria; Anthozoa; Malacalcyonacea; Plexauridae
Source: the annotation of a GenBank genome assembly